RNAcentral lists this ribosomal RNA (253 nucleotides) under uncultured bacterium. RNAcentral describes it as "partial 16S ribosomal RNA". It matches the Rfam family "Bacterial small subunit ribosomal RNA", at positions 524 to 776 of the family's 1533-position model. The record is from RNAcentral.
UACAGAGACUGCAAGCGUUGUUCGGAUUCAUUGGGCGUAAAGGGUGCGUAGGCGGUCAGGCAAGUCGGAUGUGAAAUCCCAAAGCUUAACUUUGGAAGUGCAUCCGAAACUACCUGGCUAGAGGACUGGAGGGGAGACUGGAAUUCUCGGUGUAGCGGUGAAAUGCGUAGAUAUCGAGAGGAACACCAGUGGCGAAGGCGAGUCCCUGGACAACUCCUGACACUGAGGCACGAAAGCUAGGGGAGCAAACGGG